Molecule: small nucleolar RNA, 206 nt
Filed under: Oryzias latipes (Japanese medaka)
Lineage: Eukaryota; Metazoa; Chordata; Actinopteri; Beloniformes; Adrianichthyidae
Description: Small nucleolar RNA U3 (ENSORLG00015012191.1)
Rfam family: Small nucleolar RNA U3
About the family: Small nucleolar RNAs (snoRNAs) are involved in the processing and modification of rRNA in the nucleolus. There are two main classes of snoRNAs: the box C/D class, and the box H/ACA class.
Source: RNAcentral
AAGACUCUACUUUCAGGGAUCAUUUCUUUAGUCUGGAACUAGAGGAUUGUGUUUCUACAGAGGCUGGUCUGGCUGUCCAUGAUGAUGAAUGAAGAUGUUUCCUUCAGAGCAGGAAGCUGGUGAGAAGAUGAGAAUCUUCUUCACUGAUGAAGACUGUUCAGUGUUUCUGGAUGUGACACUGAAGGAGGAAACAUUGUCUGAGUGGA